RNAcentral lists this ribosomal RNA (399 nucleotides) under Triticum aestivum (bread wheat). RNAcentral describes it as "partial small subunit ribosomal RNA". The record is from RNAcentral. Lineage: Eukaryota; Viridiplantae; Streptophyta; Magnoliopsida; Poales; Poaceae.
AUGGUGAUCUACUACUUCCAGUGUGCAAAAUCAGACAAGAGAGUUCAGAUAGUUUUUAUUUUUCCUUUUCUUUUUUGUUUUGAAGGAGUUCACAAAGUUCAUGGAAGGGAAACACCGCAUUUAUCCUUUUCAGAUUUGUAUCCUACACAUGGAGAACGGUUCAUUAACUACUCUGCCCCAAAUCCAGAGAAAAUUUACUUAAAUCAGAGAGGUCUCCAAAGACAGCAGUCGUCGAUACAAGUAAAAGUGGACAAAACCUCCUUCCAAACAAAUCCUGGAAGAACGAUAUCAAGUAAACCAACAAAGCCAAGGUUCAUUCUUCAGCAGGAGACCAGUGGAAGUAUCAUCGCUUGCAAAAUUCCAGCAUUGCUCUUUGAACUCCUAUGUUUGAGAUGUUGA